GGGGGAUAACGUAGCGAAAGUUACGCUAAUACCGCAUACGAUCUAAGGAUGAAAGCAGGGGACCGCAAGGCCUUGUGCUCCUGGAGCGGCCGAUAUCUGAUUAGCUAGUUGGUGAGGUAAAGGCUCACCAAGGCAACGAUCAGUAGCUGGUCUGAGAGGACGACCAGCCACACUGGAACUGAGACACGGUCCAGACUCCUACGGGAGGCAGCAGUGGGGAAUUUUGGACAAUGGGGGCAACCCUGAUCCAGCAAUGCCGCGUGAGUGAAGAAGGCCUUCGGGUUGUAAAGCUCUUUUGUCAGGGAAGAAAAGGUCGUGGCUAGUAUCCACGGCUGCUGACGGUACCUGAAGAAUAAGCACCGGCUAACUACGUGCCAGCAGCCGCGGUAAUACGUAGGGUGCAAGCGUUAAUCGGAAUUACUGGGCGUAAA
RNAcentral lists this ribosomal RNA (431 nucleotides) under uncultured Janthinobacterium sp. Its description in RNAcentral is "bacterial SSU rRNA". It matches the Rfam family "Bacterial small subunit ribosomal RNA", at positions 138 to 564 of the family's 1533-position model. The record is from RNAcentral. Lineage: Bacteria; Pseudomonadati; Pseudomonadota; Betaproteobacteria; Burkholderiales; Oxalobacteraceae.